UACGUAGGUGGCAAGCGUUGUCCGGAUUUACUGGGCGUAAAGAGCGCGCAGGCGGUCGUUCAAGUCGCGUGUGAAAGCCCCCCGGCUCAACUGGGGAGGGUCACGCGAUACUGAUCGACUCGAAGGCAGGAGAGGGUAGUGGAAUUCCCGGUGUAGUGGUGAAAUGCGUAGAUAUCGGGAGGAACACCAGUGGCGAAGGCGACUACCUGGCCUGUUUCUUGACGCUGAGGCGCGAAAGCUAGGGGAGCAAACGGG
This 255-nucleotide ribosomal RNA is filed under the name uncultured bacterium. Its description in RNAcentral is "partial 16S ribosomal RNA". It matches the Rfam family "Bacterial small subunit ribosomal RNA", at positions 524 to 776 of the family's 1533-position model. The record is from RNAcentral.